Dreissena polymorpha is the source of this 536-nucleotide long non-coding RNA. RefSeq lists it as uncharacterized. The transcript has 2 exons. The record is from RefSeq and is a predicted model, not a curated record. Lineage: Eukaryota; Metazoa; Mollusca; Bivalvia; Myida; Dreissenidae.
AGAUCUUAACUUACUUCUCUUUCUUUUGUUGUAUGAUAGGUUAAUGUCGAUUAUCAAACCAAAUAUCAAGUAAACAACGUUUUGAAUUUUGUUUAAAUGGUAAAUAGUCACUUGUCUGUACAAACGUUUGCUGUUUUGAAAAAUAAUUACUGGAUAUUGCAAGUGUGUGUUUUUUAGAUUUUGCCAUCAAUGAAUUGACUGCUUAAAAAAACGUCGCUCACUAGCUUAAUUGCUUGCCAUCAGUGCUGAAUAAACAUGUCGCAGCCACCACCAGCAUACCCGCCCUACUAUAACCAGCCAGUCUUCCAACAGCCACCGCCCGGCUAUAACCCGGCACCCAUGUUUAUGGCGCAACAGAGCAGUCAAGUGGUCGUGGUCAACACCGGCGGAAAUUCAAGGGUUUAUCCACCGGGAACCUGUCAGAGAUGCGGGAUUUGACUUGAAUGACUAUGAAUUACGGCGUUGCGUUUGUCAGUUUUGCAAAUGUUUAUAAAAUAUACAAUAAAAUACACUAGGACGGUACGAAAUCUACAUGA